Molecule: long non-coding RNA, 453 nt
Filed under: Homo sapiens (human)
Lineage: Eukaryota; Metazoa; Chordata; Mammalia; Primates; Hominidae
Description: HSALNT0284496
Source: RNAcentral
UAUUGUAGGCUGCUGUCAGGAAAAGAAAAAAUAAUGGCGUUGCCAGAGGAGGCAGAUAUUUGGUCAGUGGACUGAGAGAGGAAGAUCUACACUCAAUGUGGGUGAGCACCAUCCAGUUGGCUGCCAUUGCAGCUACAACAAAGCAGGUGGAAAAAUGUGAGAUAACCUUGCUUGCCAAAUCUUCUGGCUUCCUUCUUUUCUCAGUGCUGCAUGCCUCCUCCUAUUCCUCCUGCCUUUGGACAUAGGACUUCAGGUUCUUUGGCCUUUGGACACUUGAACUUUUACCAGUGGCCUGCUGGGGACUCUUGGGCCUUUAGCCACAGAAUGAGGGCUGCACUGUCAGCUUCCCUGGUUUUGAGGCUUUCAGACUUGUACUGAGCCACUACCAGCUUUCCUUUUCCCCAGCUAACAGAGGGCCUAUAGUGAGACUUUGUCUUGUAAUUAUGUGAGCCA